CGUGGCGAAUGGGUGCGUAACACGUGGAUAACCUUCCUUCAGGUGGGGAAUAACCCCGCGAAAGCGGGGCUAAUACCGCAUAACAUGACCACAUGCAAAGCCGCGCCAGAAGAGGGAUCCGCGGCCGAUUAGCUAGUUGGCGAGGUAAUGGCUCACCAAGGCUUUGAUCGGUAGCCGGACUGAGAGGUUGGCCGGCCACACUAGAACUGAGACACGGUCCAGACUCCUACGGGAGGCAGCAGUGGGGAAUCUUGCACAAUGGGCGAAAGCCUGAUGCAGCAACGCCGCGUGGGGGAUGAAGCUUCUCGGAGUGUAAACCCCUUUCGACCCGGAAGAAUGACGGUACGGGUACAAGAAGCCCCGGCUAACUACGUGCCAGCAGCCGCGGUAAUACGUAGGGGGCCAGCGUUGCUCGGAAUUACUGGGCGUACAGGGUCCGUAGGCGGUGCGGAAAGUCGGAAGUGA
This 465-nucleotide ribosomal RNA is filed under the name uncultured soil bacterium. RNAcentral describes it as "bacterial SSU rRNA". It matches the Rfam family "Bacterial small subunit ribosomal RNA", at positions 94 to 597 of the family's 1533-position model. The record is from RNAcentral.